GCUUCUGGUACUGCAAAUACAGAUCUCCCGUCAACACACCCAAUCUGUUUUGGCCUAGCCCUCAACUUCUCCAUCUUUUACUACGAGAUAAUUAAUUCUCCUGAAAGGGCCUGCCAUUACAAGCUUUUGAUGAGGCAAUUGCAGAGUUAGACACAGUGAGUGAGGACUCAUACAAGGACAACACCCUGAAAAUUUGGUUAUACCAUUCUGCUUGUUGCUUGCCAUAACCCUUGUAACAAUGAGAAGAAGAAUGGGGAAGAGCUUGAAUUUCCUCCCAGUUUGCCAAGAUAUUUAACCGCUUUAUAGGUGGUGCCAGGAGAGCAUCUUAGUGUAUUAUGUCUUCAAUUGAGCAGAAGGAAGAGUCAAAGGGAAAUGAGAAAAACGUUAAGCUGAUUAAGGGUUACUGCCAGAAUGUAGAAGAGGAACCCUCUUCCAGCUCCGGAGAAGCCACUGUAUUCUUCUAUAAUAUGAGAGGUGACUACUACCGGUAUCUUGCUGAAUUUUAAGACUGAUCAGGAAAGGAAUGAGGCUGCUGAACAGUCACUGAAAGGCUAUGAGGCAUGUCCACAUCUAUUGACAUGACUCUUUGACAACCUCUACACGAAAUGCAUGGCUGCUUCUGGUACUGCAAAUACAGAUCUCCCUUCAACAAACCCAAUCCGUUUUGGCCUAGCUCUCAACUUCUCCAUCUUUUACUACAGAGAUAAUUAAUUCUCCUGAAAGGGCCUGCCAAAGAUUUGUUAUACAAUGAAAUUGGGAUCUUUAACAAACAAUUUGAGGGCCAUUCCAAAUCUAAUCUUGGUUUUCACUAAAAAAAUUAAAAUAAAAACGUGUAGUUAUUGGUACUGUUUUGUUUCGUAAAAUGCAAAAUAGUAAAUUGAUGAAGAAUGGUCUGAUAAGAAGAGAAAAUGUGAGGUGCAUGUUGAUGCGAAGAUAUUGUGCUGUUGCAGUUGGUUCUACCAUUCUGCUUGUUGCUUACCAUAACCCUUGUAACAAUGAGAAGAAAAAUGGGGAAGAGCUUGAAUUUCCUCCCAGUUUGCCAAGAUAUUUAAUCGCUUUAUGUUCCUUUCAGCUUCUUUUAAUUUUUAAUUUUUUUAUAGAAGCAUGUUUGAGUUAUGAAAGUUAAUAUCGGAUGUCUAUGUUCUGGUGCAGGUGAUGACAGCUUUAAAGGUGAAGAAGCCAAAGCUGCAGGACCAGAGCAUUAAUGGAGUAACCAAGAGCAUCACAUGAGGCAGUUGAAAACAGAAUACUAUGCAAAGUCGCUUUUUUCAGUUUUUUUUCUCGCGAAGGGAAGCAUGGGACAGUGUAAAAGGCAUCUUACAAUCCUUUUGUGCCAUUGAAAAGCCAGAAAAUGACUAGAAUUCUAGGGCUGACCUGCCACAUUUUUGUUUCUAAGUUGUUUCCUUUGUGGACCUUGCCUUUGCUUCUGCUACUUCAUGUUCUCCAUAGUGAAUUUCUUAUCCAAUCGGGAAAAAUAUAUUUUCAAUUUUCUCAGCUUUCAAAGUAUAAUUGCAGGGAAAAUAUAUUUUCAAUUUUCGCA
Cornus florida is the source of this 1540-nucleotide long non-coding RNA. RefSeq lists it as uncharacterized. The transcript is spliced from 7 exons. NCBI's taxonomy places the organism in Eukaryota, Viridiplantae, Streptophyta, Magnoliopsida, Cornales, Cornaceae. The record is from RefSeq and is a predicted model, not a curated record.